This 251-nucleotide long non-coding RNA is filed under the name Mytilus galloprovincialis (Mediterranean mussel). Lineage: Eukaryota; Metazoa; Mollusca; Bivalvia; Mytilida; Mytilidae. The record is from RNAcentral.
UGUGACUGCUUAAAAAAUCUUCAAUGAACUUUUUUUAAUUAUUAUUUAUUUCUUUUUAUAGUUGCCGUCAGCUGAAAUUCGUAGCGGUUAUUGGUAAAAACUAUCAACCACAUUUACUCGAGAUAUAGUUUUUCACAUUCCAUUCAUAAAUCGCGAAAAGAAAAACCACUACUGACCUACCUUUUAAGUGAUCGCACUGUAAUAAUCCUAACCUUCACAUUUUCCAGAAUGUUUUCCAUUGUAAUUCUGCC